CCUUGUUGAAAAAAUAAGCACAAAAACAUGCUAUUAAGGAAUAAGAUAAAUUCUAAUUCUAGCAUGUAAGAUAAGAGCAAACAUGUCCUCAUAAAGAUGUUUGAAAUUACCAAAACAUAAAAGCAGUCAUCCGACGUGCUUUUUCUGUCAUCCUCAUAAAAUACCUUUAAAAAUUAUUCUCAAGAUACGAAUAGAAAAUAUGAGGAUAAAAAAAUAUGGUUCUAAGCAAAAUAAGACAGAAACACCCAAAGCAAUACAAACAAACCUGACAUGCUCUAGGAUUAGGAACCAAAAUCCUAGGCAUGUUGUGUUCUCACCACUAGGUGAGUCCACUCCCUCUCACAGGGUGAAUGGUCUAAUCAUUUCUGACCCAAACCUUCUUGAUCCCCAGAGCAAGAUUGUGGGCUUUGUCCAAGUUGUCCAGGCAACUCGGGACAUUCUGCAUCAUGCUUAGCAACCCUUCAUAGACAUGGUUGCUGUGACGCUCUGAUUUGUUGUUUCUGGGCUUACCACUCUGUCUGUUGGUAAGAACAAAUCUCAAUUGUUGCCGCUGAUGCCAUGAAUCUUGAUGUGCCUUUGGAGGUUGAGUGCCUGAUGUUUCUUUCUUUGGCAGUUCCUUCUUGACCUUCGGCUUUUGAACUUGCAACUGUGAAUAAUUGGGUCGGAUGUGACCGCUGAUGCCACAAUAAUGGAGCAUCCUUCUUAUUCCAAGUCCUCGAGGAAUUUAACUGACCACAAUUUGGUCUAAUGUGUCCCACCAUCCCACAAUAAUGACAUGUAGGUAAGCUUUUCAUUGUGGAAUGCUUAGGUCUUGCCGGUGUAAUGUUAGAAUUCUCACAAGAAAUCACAAUUGCCUUACUUUUGUCUUCAUAGGCAUUCUAAGGCUCUGGAAUUGAGGGCUUCACAAACACAGUUUUUGAAGUAGAGGUAAUGUUGGAGGCAUCAGUAGUAGCUACAUACUCGAGACCGGUCUCGUUAGAUGAACACUUCUGUCCUGUCAGCAUCUGGGCUAGCUUGUUGUCUGAGAACUUCUCCAACUGUAACUGUGCAUCGAUCAGUUUAUCUUCGAAGUCCAUUAUCUUCUGAAGUAAUGUGCUUUUUCCUGUCUUCACAGUGCUUAGCUCCAUCACAUUAUUCUGAUUA
This is a long non-coding RNA of Alnus glutinosa, 1143 nucleotides long. RefSeq lists it as uncharacterized. The record is from RefSeq and is a predicted model, not a curated record. NCBI's taxonomy places the organism in Eukaryota, Viridiplantae, Streptophyta, Magnoliopsida, Fagales, Betulaceae. The transcript has 2 exons.